This 254-nucleotide ribosomal RNA is filed under the name uncultured bacterium. Its description in RNAcentral is "partial 16S ribosomal RNA". It matches the Rfam family "Bacterial small subunit ribosomal RNA", at positions 524 to 776 of the family's 1533-position model. The record is from RNAcentral.
UACGUAGGGUCCGAGCGUUGUCCGGAUUUAUUGGGCGUAAAGAGCUCGUAGGCGGUUUCGUAAGUCGGAUGUGAAAUCUCAGGGCUCAACCCGGAAACUGCACCCGAUACUGCGAUGACUUGAGUCUGGUAGGGGAACACGGAAUUCCUGGUGUAGCGGUGAAAUGCGCAGAUAUCAGGAGGAACACCGAUGGCGAAGGCAGUGUUCUGGGCCAGUACUGACGCUGAGGAGCGAAAGCGUGGGGAGCAAACAGG